RNAcentral lists this ribosomal RNA (141 nucleotides) under uncultured bacterium. RNAcentral describes it as "partial 16S rRNA". It matches the Rfam family "Bacterial small subunit ribosomal RNA", at positions 355 to 511 of the family's 1533-position model. The record is from RNAcentral.
UGGGGAAUUUCCCGCAAUGGGCGAAAGCCUGACGGAGCAAUGCCGCGUGGAGGUGGAAGGCCUACGGGUCGUCAACUUCUUUUCUCGGAGAAGAAACAAUGACGGUAUCUGAGGAAUAAGCAUCGGCUAACUCUGUGCCAG